GGCCUGAUAGCUCAGUUGGAUAGAGCAACAGCCUUCUAAGCUGUGGGUCUUGGGUUCGAAUCCCAAUCAGGUCA
RNAcentral lists this transfer RNA (74 nucleotides) under Bacteroidia bacterium. Its description in RNAcentral is "tRNA-Arg". It matches the Rfam family "tRNA". Rfam says of the family: Transfer RNA (tRNA) molecules are approximately 80 nucleotides in length. The record is from RNAcentral. Lineage: Bacteria; Pseudomonadati; Bacteroidota; Bacteroidia.